UUAUUUAAUAAAUCUCUAACUAAAAAUACAAAUGCGCGGCAAGUAAAAACUAUAGGAAGGACUUGAUUUAAAAGUAGGCCACAUAGUGUGCCAGAAUUAAAUCUUCCAAUAAAUUAUGGCCGUAGCUUUCCGCGGUUUCCCUACAUGAACCCCGAGACCGGAAGGCUAUACUCAUUGUUCCACUAGACAUUCUAUGGGAAGACGCGCAUAAAAACGUAGGCUAUUCAAGAGGUCGCAGAUUACAAAUACAAUAGACGGUACAGACCCAUCAAGGACUGGCUUUCAGCAUUCCAGACUUUCUUUUAUUACGGUAAUUUCUCUCAGUGGCAACAUCAUCAAAUUCAGACGUGUGAAUGGCUGUGUCCACGCCUAGAUGCUUACAAGGGGUACAGGGUAUGCAGCUCCAAUCAUUGAGUGAAUGGGUUUUGAAUCGUUUCAGUUGGCUUCCAUAAAUUGUUUCGUCCUAGCCCAUUUGCUUUGGCGAACAACUUGCGGUCAGUGCAGAAAACUUGAGAGAAGACAACCUUUCAAAGCUCCGGCAACUACACCAAAGAUGCACAGACAAAGUCCGGUAGGGCCAAGGGUAUUCCAUUAUGAAAUGCCGUAUGGUGCUAAUCGGGCAAGAGAGUUCAACGCACAUUUCUCAGCGGAUGAGUGGAGAUCUAGGGCUAUAGGGCGAAUGCCUUGGCCUCAGUCACCGCCCCAGUGGCAAUCUAGCCCUGUAGGCCGAAAUUGUGGCCCCAGCCCCGUCUUCUAUCGGGAGAGAAAUGAAGGCGUUUGGAAUCCCCGUCGCAGCCCACAGGGACCAGAUAUGCGCUGCUCGGAAUGGUCACCUCGCCUACAGAGAGGGUCCAACAGAUGGCAGAAGUCCCCAAUCUAUUCGCCGCAAUCAAGAAUGCACCAAUCUCCAUCACCAAGAUCUGUAAGGGGUCCAGCUAGACGACGGGAUUCGUCUGAGUCAGGGGUCUCCAAACUUUACAAGCCUUCCAUGCUGGAAGACCCAUGGGCCGAAUUGGAGCACAUAUACUCAAGGGACCGGUCACCACUGCACAGGGCGGAAGGGAGUCCAGCAAAUGAUCUGCGAGAACCUGAACCAAACUCCACAGCUGGACACACUAGUGGUGACGCAAGAUGAACCACAAGAAAAUCAGUUAUUUUGAGUAGUUUCAAAGCCGCUGUGGAUUUGAGUUCAAACCUGUUUAUGGGUGCCCUGAUCUUAUUCCUUUGAAUAUACCCCAUACAGCGACUGACAAAUUAUUACAAAAG
Molecule: long non-coding RNA, 1266 nt
Organism: Anguilla anguilla (European eel)
Lineage: Eukaryota; Metazoa; Chordata; Actinopteri; Anguilliformes; Anguillidae
Exons: 3
Source: RefSeq, a predicted model, not a curated record